CAAUGCCUUCUCUUCAAUUGUCCCAUUCUUGUCAAACCCCCCCCUGAGCAGACUGCCGGUGAUAAGCCGGAGGCCCCCCCCGUUGGGGCCAUACUUGGCACAUAAGGCCUGAGCGUGAGUCUAAGGGAUGGAGGAAUGGGCCAAAGCUCAUUUCAAGUUGGUCUGCUUGGUGUAAGGUCGAAACCGAGCCUAGCAAAAACCCUUCGGUAUUAUUCCAUCCGACUCAUCAGCUUCCAAAGCAGCUUUCUUUGUGCUCUUGCAUGCCUCAGUGGAAGCUAACCUCCUUUCAGCUCUGCACAAUUCAUUCAAACACUUCAGCUUAGUGUCAAACAACAAAAGGGGAAAAGCAGACAACUCAAAAGACAUUAGAUUGGAAGAUGAAUAACCCUCGCGGCCAAGAAGUGCACAUAAAUUGCUCAAAACAGACUGCGAUAGUUGCAAAAAGAUAUUAUGUAUGUCAUUUCUCCUUUUUCCACCUGAAGUUGACCCAGCAACAUCACUAUUUUCUUGCUUUGAUUCUCCUUCCGGCAAAGCAGGAUCCUUUGAAACCGCACCACCAGCUUCAUCAACAGGCAACAUAGGGGAAUUUCCUGUUCCCUGUUCAGAUCGGGACUGAUGCUCCAAUUUUGAUGAUGCAGUAUGAACAACUACUUGAAGGAGGCUCAUGACCUGCAGCAUAUGGAUUUUUAAUUAGAAAAUGGGGAAUGGGAAAACCAUAAAUAUUAAACCAUAAUAAUAUCCGAACCACCAGCUUCCGCUUGGUUCGUCCCCAAACCACAUCUUACUGGGACCAGUUUUAUGCUUCCGCUCAUGAUGUUUAAAUUUCUUUCAUGUUUUUCCACUUUCAGUCUUCAUGUUUGAAACUUAUUGAUUAGUAUUUGUUUCCAAACUUUUACAGUUUUCUAGACUCAUUAAAUUUCUAUGUAACGACCUGAAUUUAAGAGGGGUACAUGAAUGAACCAGUAUCACAUCCGAAUGAGAGGGAUCUUGAGGACAUGAAAGUAUGGUUAAGAAAGGCUUAAAGGAAUGAACCGGUGCACCUUUCUUUUCGGUGGCUCAAUCAUAGGAACUCCAAAUUUAAGCGUGCGUAGCUUGGAGCAAUCCUACGUUGGGUGAGACCUCCUGGAAAUUUUCUUAGGAAAUAUAGUUGCCUAUAUUUACAUUUUUUUUAAAAUGUUAUUGUACACUUAAUUAUUGACUUAGAGGCAACAACCCUAAAAGUUCUACCCAU
This is a non-coding RNA of Benincasa hispida (wax gourd), 1231 nucleotides long. NCBI's taxonomy places the organism in Eukaryota, Viridiplantae, Streptophyta, Magnoliopsida, Cucurbitales, Cucurbitaceae. The record is from RefSeq and is a predicted model, not a curated record.